Gavialis gangeticus (Gharial) is the source of this 563-nucleotide long non-coding RNA. RefSeq lists it as uncharacterized. The record is from RefSeq and is a predicted model, not a curated record. NCBI's taxonomy places the organism in Eukaryota, Metazoa, Chordata, Crocodylia, Gavialidae. The transcript has 4 exons.
GAGACUUUGGAAUGGGCAAGAGGGUCAUUGAGGACCAGAUUGUAGAAGAGUGUAGAUACCUGAUAGAGAACUUUGAAUCUUGCAAAGGAAAGCCCUUUGAGACCAUCACUAUAAUAAAUGGAGCAGUAGCUAAUAUCAUUGUAUCAGUAUUGCUUGGAAACUUGUUUGACUAUGAAGACCCCUAGUUCAUAAGACUCCUAAAUUUAAUCAGUGAAAAUGUAAGGCUUGUUGGAAGUCCUUCAGUUGUGAUCUAUAAUCGGUUUCCAGCCCUUGGAUUUCUCUCCAAGGAUUACAAAACUGUUCUUCAAAACAGGGAUGAGUUUCAUGCUUUUACACAGGUUAUUUUCAAAGAACACCUCAAAAAGCUAGACAAAAAUGACCAGCGAAGAUUUAUUGAUGUAUUCUUCAUAAGACAGAAGGAGGAGAAAAGUGACACCAAUGGCUAUUUCCAUAAUGAAAAUUUUAAAAACCUUAUAUUGAACUUGUUUACUGCUGGAAUGGAAAGCACUUCCACCACACUGCGCUGGGGUCUUCUCCUAAUGAUGAAGUACCCUGAAAUUCAG